CCCUUCAAAUUUUAUUCACUUCCUACUCGCAGAGUCUCACUCACCAUUUUUGGACACCGCGUCUCAGAGAUAAUUUUCUGAAAAAUGGAAGAGAAAAAUAACAAGCAAGUAAAUGAACUGAAAAAUAAAUUCUCAUCAUUGGAUUUACCAGAUUUGCCCAAACAGCUCCCUCCACAUCUUGAGUUUCAGAAUUCAGAGAACUCGUGUUCUCUGCAACCUUGAGGCUCCGAUUCCUGUGUUUCUCGUCGACUCUCUCCAUUUUUUUCUUUUUUGGUAGCUACCCUUCUCUUGGUUUUGCAUGUUUUUGAGGUGUUUAUUGGUUAUAUUUAAAUUUUACAGGUUUUUCGACGCUUUCGAGGAAGUGCUUUUGUAUUUUUCAUUGACCCUUUAUCUGUUUUUUCCCGUUUGUAAAUGCCCAUGAUUUUUGUUUUUUGAUGCUUCGGUUGUGUUAUACAAAGCUUGUUAAUUUGUUAGUUGAAAUAUUGUAAAGACUGAAAAUUUGAGUCUAUUGGACAUUGUUGCUAGUCUCACUGCUUCGAUGAGUUAACAUAUCCAUGAGUUGUGUUUGUUGAAGUUCUCACUGGUCAUAAUAUUUUUCUUUUUGCGAGAAAUUGAAUUAAAAGCACAUGCUGUAAAAAGGCAUGGUAAAACUCAUGCAAAGUGGUCACCAGUGGCUACCGAAUGCUUCCUGAGGUUGUUUUAUUGGAAGAUGUUGAAGACGAGGAUGCUGAAAAACUUGUAAACACUUGCCUGGUUAAAGUAUUUGAUAUCGAAGAUUUUGGAAAUGGUAAGAAAAGGCAACUGCAGCAGGAUGACGGGCUUGCACACUUUGUAGGGAAUGCCUAAGAGUGGGAGAAGAAUAGGAGAAGCAUGUGUCACUACUUAUUAAAGACCAUUUUAAAUGUAAGUAUGUCUUGCAUGUGCAUCAAUUUGCACUAAUCAGAAGACUUCAGGAGAAAUCACUUUAAUAUCCUGUUCGGUUCGAAGUUCCUACUUGUUUGAACACAUCAAAUGCAAAAUGCAUGCAGCAUGAGUAAUUAGCUUUGCGUGUAAUAUGAAUCUGAGCCCAUGUGGAACUAUUUCUUCUGUGUUUGAUCGAUGAUGGAACAGGAUAGUCUAUACCGAUUGUCAAUGUUUGUGUAUAGGCUUGAAAAUGAUGAUGAGCCCACCAUUGUUAACUUCCCACCCUUUGGAAACAUGUUGCUACAAUUUGGUCAUAGAUUCAACACUGCUGCUUGAAGUUUUUGAUUGCGUAAUGUUCUCGUUUUCAUCUGUUUUUUCUGUUUUUUUUUUUUUUCAUUUUCCAGUUACUAUGAAUCAACCGGAGCAUUACCUCCUGAAGUUUUAUUUACUGAAGCUGUCUUGAUGCUAUAUAGAGUAGAUGUUCUAACAAAUUCUAGUUCACUGUAAACCAAGGGGUUUGGUAAUUGAUAUUUGUUCUUUCCCUCCAAUUUAGAAGUGAAGAAGCUAAUAUUGUUUCACCUUGCGUAUAUGAGAUUCUUUUGCAAGUAUUAGCUUUAAAAAAUGUGAGAGUUGUUAUGGGGAACGCUUGUUUCUGUUGAUUGAUUGCCUUAUUUUUGUAUAGUGAUGGAAGGAAUGUCAUCCAAUCCUAAUCUUAUAAAGCUUUGUUGAGUAUUUUUUAGUUAGGACUGGUGCAAGAAUUGUUUCAGGUGUCCACUUGUGAUGCACAUGUGUCCUUAAUCUUGCUGUACCUGCAUACUUGUAUUAUUGUUGUAUAGUUCAAGGGUGAAUUCAAGCCAAGCCCUAAUAAGGUCAGAUCAAGCAUUACUCAAAACCAAUACAGCCAACUCAAGUUCAAGCUGAGCUCAAUUAGUUGGUAAUCAGUGAUGUUAGAGAUGAAAAAGACAAGUCGCAAUAGAAGAAGAAGAAAUUUUGGAAAAGAAGAAUAAAAAGAAUCAUCGGAGAACUCCACUAUGGCGACAUCGGAGAGCCCUCGAACUUUAUCUGGAGUUUGAUUCAUUUAAGCUAAAUAUGGAUUCGAAUCUGAGCUAAACUCAGCUCGAAUUCACCCAUAACACAGGUGGGCUAAUUUUCAUCGUUCUUUUUUUUUUUUUCUAUUAUUAUGUAAUUAUCAAAGUGUGAGGGUUACAGGUCUAUGAGAACUUUUAGGUCCUUUCACGUUCACUCA
Mangifera indica (mango) is the source of this 2149-nucleotide long non-coding RNA. RefSeq lists it as uncharacterized. The record is from RefSeq and is a predicted model, not a curated record. The transcript has 3 exons. NCBI's taxonomy places the organism in Eukaryota, Viridiplantae, Streptophyta, Magnoliopsida, Sapindales, Anacardiaceae.